GACAGGUCAGCCGCAAGGCAUGUAUGAAGGUGGUGCAUGGCUGUCGUCAGCUCGUGUCGUGAGAUGUUGGGUUAAGUCCCGCAACGAGCGCAACCCUUGUUCACUGUUGCCAGCACGUUAUGGUGGGGACUCAGUGGAGACCGCCGGGGUCAACUCGGAGGAAGGUGGGGAUGACGUCAAGUCAUCAUGCCCCUUAUGUCCAGGGCUUCACGCAUGCUACAAUCGGCUGGUACAGAGAGUGGGUCGACGCGGCCG
This 255-nucleotide ribosomal RNA is filed under the name uncultured bacterium. Its description in RNAcentral is "partial 16S ribosomal RNA". It matches the Rfam family "Bacterial small subunit ribosomal RNA", at positions 1007 to 1262 of the family's 1533-position model. The record is from RNAcentral.